Long non-coding RNA from Cyprinus carpio (common carp), 380 nucleotides. RefSeq lists it as uncharacterized. The transcript is spliced from 3 exons. Lineage: Eukaryota; Metazoa; Chordata; Actinopteri; Cypriniformes; Cyprinidae. The record is from RefSeq and is a predicted model, not a curated record.
CUUAAAUUUCUCAGCCCUCAGGCUCUUUCCUAAGGAUACCUCCACUGAUGAAGCUACACCAUCAACUUCAUCCUCAACAUCAACAGAUGCAUCACUUCUCAGUGCUGAUGUUUCCUCUAUACUGUAGCACAAGCUACACCAUCAAUACCAUCUCUCACAGUGGAAGACACUGCAUCCAGAACAGAAAUUGAGUCUGCACCACUUCCCAACACUGAGGUUUCCUCUACAGCUCAAGAUACCACAAGCACUGUCAUUAUAGCUGAUGACCCUACGCAGUGGCCAGCAGUCCUGACUGAUAGUGUGCACUGUCAAAUUGUUAAAAAAGGACCAGUGCAAGUCACAAACAUUGUUUUCCCCCAAAAUUCAAAAAUAUCUCCAUG